UACGUAGGGGGCAAGCGUUGUCCGGAAUCAUUGGGCGUAAAGAGCGUGUAGGCGGCCCGAUAAGUCCGCUGUGAAAGUCCAGGGCUCAACCCUGGAAUGCCAGUGGAAACUGCCGGGCUAGAGUCCGGAAGAGGCGAGUGGAAUUCCUGGUGUAGCGGUGGAAUGCGCAGAUAUCAGGAGGAACACCAAUAGCGAAGGCAGCUCGCUGGGACGGUACUGACGCUGAGGCGCGAAAGCGUGGGGAGCAAACAGG
Molecule: ribosomal RNA, 253 nt
Filed under: uncultured bacterium
Lineage: Bacteria
Description: partial 16S ribosomal RNA
Rfam family: Bacterial small subunit ribosomal RNA
Source: RNAcentral